AAUGAAGCGCCGCAAUUGUUGAUCCUGAAUCGUAAAACGGGAAUAAAAAGUAAAAAAUAUUAGACUAAUCUCCACGUACACAUUUCCGCAGAAAUUUUUUCAUUCAUAGACCUGCGGGUGAUGCAACUUCAUCUUUAAGUUGCCCAGGAUGCCGUUGAGUUUCCUUGGCCAUUGCCCCCGCCCCUAGAAUGGUUUGCGUCGCCAAUUUAUACGCCAAAUUCCUUGGCAUUCCCAUUUUAACCGCGCCAUCGGCCAGGGCUUCGAUCAUGACGAAUACCUGGAGGUAUAAUAAAAGAUGUGCGGGUCCAGAGCUGGCGAGUGCGGUGACUGGAUCGAUCAUGUUCUCACCGACUUCCUCGCAUAUUCCAACGCUUUUAAAAAGUCGACUUGCGAUGUCGGCGUCCUUCUGAUCGGCAUUUUUACCACGUGCGAAUACUGUAGCUCCAAAUCCUACGACGGAUGGGGUAUUCGGCAUCGCUCUGAUCACUGGAGUUUCCGAAGGCAACGCCUGGAGGGUUUCAAAAUUAAUUUUAUCAUAGGCGUGAGUUAUGAAUUAUCCCGGUAACGAAAGAAUUUGUUGCAGUAUAAUGCGACGAUCAAAU
This 602-nucleotide unclassified non-coding RNA is filed under the name Athalia rosae (coleseed sawfly). Its description in RNAcentral is "misc RNA ENSAEAG00005008503.1". The record is from RNAcentral. Lineage: Eukaryota; Metazoa; Arthropoda; Insecta; Hymenoptera; Athaliidae.